RNAcentral lists this ribosomal RNA (232 nucleotides) under uncultured bacterium. RNAcentral describes it as "partial 16S ribosomal RNA". It matches the Rfam family "Bacterial small subunit ribosomal RNA", at positions 89 to 334 of the family's 1533-position model. The record is from RNAcentral.
AGUAAAGUGGCGUACGGGUGAGUAACACGUGGGAUAAUCUACCCUAUGGUGGGGAAUAACCUUGGGAAACCGAGGCUAAUACCGCAUAAGUUCGAGAGAAGAAAGCCGCAAGGCGCCAUUGGAGGAGUCCGCGGCCGAUUAGCUAGUUGGUGAGGUAAGAGCUCACCAAGGCGACGAUCGGUAGCCGGCCUGAGAGGGCACACGGCCACACUGGCACUGAAACACGGGCCAG